AAUAAACCAAUUUUUCACUUUUUACAUAUAAUUUUUGACUCUUCGUCUUAUUCAAAAAAUUUUUGUGAUUGAUAUUUUUGUUUUUAUUAGAUGAUAAAUCAUAAAUAGCACUUUAUAUGUGACUAAUUUUUUUCUAAUUUUUUUUAAAAAAUUUAAAUAAAACGAAUAAUCAAACAUUAAACACGAAAACCGAAG
This 195-nucleotide microRNA precursor is filed under the name Oryza brachyantha (malo sina). RNAcentral describes it as "MIR812 microRNA precursor family". It matches the Rfam family "MIR812 microRNA precursor family". The record is from Rfam by way of RNAcentral. Lineage: Eukaryota; Viridiplantae; Streptophyta; Magnoliopsida; Poales; Poaceae.